RNAcentral lists this ribosomal RNA (376 nucleotides) under uncultured bacterium. RNAcentral's name for it is "bacterial SSU rRNA". It matches the Rfam family "Bacterial small subunit ribosomal RNA", at positions 521 to 896 of the family's 1533-position model. The record is from RNAcentral.
UAAGACGAGCUGUGCAAACGUUAUUCGGAAUUACUGGGCUUAAAGAGUUCGUAGGCGGCGCGUUAGGUGGGGUGUGAAAUCCCUCGGCUCAACCGAGGAAUGGCGCUCCAAACCGGCGUGCUUGAGGAAGGUAGAGGUGAGCGGAACUGAUGGUGGAGCGGUGAAAUGCGUUGAUAUCAUCAGGAACACCGGAGGCGAAGGCGGCUCACUGGGCCUUUUCUGACGCUGAGGAACGAAAGCCAGGGUAGCGAACGGGAUUAGAUACCCCGGUAGUCCUGGCUGUAAACGAUGAGCACUAGGUCGAGGGUCUCCCACAGAUCCUUGGCCGUAGCGAAAGUGUUAAGUGCUCCGCCUGGGGAGUAUGGUCGCAAGGCUG